AACGAACGCUGGCGGCAGGCCUCAAACAUGCAAGUCUAGGGGGUGCAGCAAUGCAUCACCGGCGGACGGGUGCGUAACGCGUGGGAAUAUACCUUUUGGUUCGGAACAACUGCGGGAAACUGCAGCUAAUACCGAAUGUGCCCUAACGGGGAAAGAUUUAUCGCCAAAGGAUUAGCCCGCGUAGGAUUAGCUAGUUGGUGAGGUAAUGGCUCACCAAGGCUCCGAUCCUUAGCNGUUCUGAGAGGAAGAUCAGCCACACUGGGACUGAGACACGGCCCAGACUCCUACGGGAGGCAGCAGUUGGGAAUCUUGGACAAUGGGGAAACCCUGAUCCAGCCAUGCCGCGUGAGUGAUGAAGGCCUU
This 363-nucleotide ribosomal RNA is filed under the name uncultured bacterium. RNAcentral's name for it is "bacterial SSU rRNA". It matches the Rfam family "Bacterial small subunit ribosomal RNA", at positions 29 to 418 of the family's 1533-position model. The record is from RNAcentral.